RNAcentral lists this ribosomal RNA (255 nucleotides) under uncultured bacterium. RNAcentral describes it as "partial 16S ribosomal RNA". It matches the Rfam family "Bacterial small subunit ribosomal RNA", at positions 524 to 776 of the family's 1533-position model. The record is from RNAcentral.
UACGUAGGUGGCAAGCGUUGUCCGGAAUUAUUGGGCGUAAAGCGCGCGCAGGCGGCCUCUUAAGUCUGAUGUGAAAGCCCCCCGGCUCAACCGGGGAGGGCCAUUGGAAACUGGGAGGCUUGAGUAUAGGAGAGAAGAGUGGAAUUCCACGUGUAGCGGUGAAAUGCGUAGAGAUGAUGGAGGAACACCAGUGGCGAAGGCGACUCUUUGGCCUAUAACUGACGCUGAGGCGCGAAAGCGUGGGGAGCAAACAGG